AGCAAGUUUUGGGCAGAUUUGCACAGU
This 27-nucleotide non-coding RNA is filed under the name Mus musculus (house mouse). Lineage: Eukaryota; Metazoa; Chordata; Mammalia; Rodentia; Muridae. The record is from RNAcentral.